RNAcentral lists this long non-coding RNA (1728 nucleotides) under Equus caballus (horse). Its description in RNAcentral is "lncRNA (ENSECAG00000041219.2)". Lineage: Eukaryota; Metazoa; Chordata; Mammalia; Perissodactyla; Equidae. The record is from RNAcentral.
AUUUAGGGGCUGGCCCAGUGGUGCAGCGGUUAAGCACGCACAUUCUGCUUCAGCGGCCUGGGGUUCGUCAGUUUGGAUCCCGGGUGCGGACAUGGCACCUCUUGGCAAGCCAUGCUGUGGUCAUUUUCUCUCUCUAGAAAGUUCCCUGCUGUGUCAAUUGGCCUACCAUCUUGGAAAACAGAAUGUGAAGUGUCGAUUGACAGAGGACAUCCUUACUCCCAGCUGGCACCUCCGAGUUCACGCCGUCUUCCUUCUGCGUGAAGGAUGUGGAAACCAACACUUCCCCGGGGAAGUUCUGGCUGAGGGGAUGAAUUCUGGCUCCUUGGUUUCUACAGGAUUCUCUUACCGCCCUUCCGGUCGCUCCAGGAUGACCACAAUCCGGACACACUGUUCUUUUCAGACCCGCUCUCCCACCGCUGGCCGAUGGGAAGCCCUCCAAACCUGGAAGGUGGGCCUUCUCAAGAUCCCCAGGGGGGCCCGAAGCUGUCCCUCAUCUUGCCUGGAAGGUAGUCCUUUUUUCCACGUGAGCCAUCCCAGGGCCACGGACAGUCUUUUCUGGAAGCUGCUUGGGUUCUGAUUUGUCUCAGAGUCUCUGCCGUUAGACGGAUUCAGUGCACCUGGUCUCAGACGGGGCUCUUUGAUUGUCGCUAGAGUAAUCUUGCUUUUGUGGGGUGGGGGCAUUUUUUUUGACAUCAUUUCCCCUGGAGAGUCAACACUUUAUUCCGUGGUAAUCCAUGUGUCACGGGUAAAGCUGACGCGCCUUCCUGGCCCGGGGACGAUGUGUGACCCAGGUCUGGCCACUCUGAAUCCUCCACGCACCUGCUCCUCCACGAUAAGCGACACAGAGAUAGACGUGGGAGCCUCCCAAGCCAACCUGGUCUUCCCCAGGCCUUUCCCAGGGCCUUUGGGACAGAUGUGAUCCCUUCUCCAGGACCCACGCUUUGUGGACCAGGAAGGCCCGGUGUUGCCGAGGAUCAUUUUUAGGUGAAAGCAAGAUCGAGACAACCAGCGUGGAGAGGUGGAGAGAGAGAGAUUCUGGAUGCCUUCAGUCAGAUCCAAGGACCCGAAUGUGACUGAGACCAGACCCUCCCAUUGAUUUUCCAGUGACGGGAACCAACGAAUGACCUUCCGGGUUAGGCCAGUUUGAGAUGGGUUUCUGGCUCUCUCAAGUAGGAGUCCCAACUAAUUUGCCAACUGGGAAUAAAAAACAAAAAUGGGGUCAUCAGAGGAAGUUGGGGGCUGAUGGGUUCAGAGGAAGAGCUAAGCAUUCAGACUCCAGGAAGGAGGGAUCCAGUGAGCAUCAGGCAUCCUGGCCUCAGGGACGCAGGGAGUCCAGGCACCUGCGUGCGGGCUCCAUUGGAUUUCCACUCCAACGCAGAGUUCCAGGGAGCAAUUAUCCAAGUGACCCAGCUUGGGUCCCAUGCCUGACCUGUUGCUGGAGAGCUGGGUGGACCCCACGUGAUGGGGGAGCAGUCACCGCCCCCGGAGGAAAGGUGUCUUAGGAUGAAGAGAAGGCUGAGCAGUGACAAGUGCAGAUGUCCACCGCAGCUCCGGAAGCAGCAGAUGGCACGGGGCCAUUUUCUCUCUGGUUCGAUGAGACUGCCCUGGGGUGCUUUCGCUCGAAGGCUUGGCGGAGGGGCUACCCGUGGGGCGGAGGGAAAGUUGGCUUUUGGAGUUAGACGAUGGAGAUGGUAACAAUGCUGCCUCUCCGAGCUCCCUGGGCGACCC